This 545-nucleotide ribosomal RNA is filed under the name Mantidactylus albofrenatus. RNAcentral's name for it is "partial 16S ribosomal RNA". It matches the Rfam family "Bacterial large subunit ribosomal RNA", at positions 1850 to 2610 of the family's 2925-position model. Lineage: Eukaryota; Metazoa; Chordata; Amphibia; Anura; Mantellidae. The record is from RNAcentral.
AGGUCCCGCCUGCCCAGUGACAAAAUUCAACGGCCACGGUAUCCUAACCGCGCAAAGGUAGCAUAAUCACUUGUUCUUUAAAUGGGGACUCGUAUCAACGGCAUCACGAGGGUUAUACUGUCUCCUCUUUCAAGUCAGUGAAACUAAUCUCCCCGUGAAGAAGCGAGGAUAAUAAUAUAAGACGAGAAGACCCUAUGGAGCUUCAAACCCAACUACAACCCAUAAUUCUAUAACCCCUCAACCCCUUGGGCCCUAUAUAGUUGGUUUUAGGUUGGGGCGACCACGGAGUACAACAAAACCUCCACAAUGAACGGGGCUACCCCCUUAUCUAAGAAUUACACCCCUAAGAAUUAGAAUACUAACAUAAAAUGAUCCAUUAUUUGAUCAAUGAACCAAGUUACCCUAGGGAUAACAGCGCAAUCCGUUUCAAGAGCUCCUAUCGACAAACGGGUUUACGACCUCGAUGUUGGAUCAGGGUAUCCUAGUGGUGCAGCAGCUACUAAUGGUUCGUUUGUUCAACGAUUAAAACCCUACGUGAUCUGAGU